Phrynosoma platyrhinos (Desert horned lizard) is the source of this 68-nucleotide non-coding RNA. Lineage: Eukaryota; Metazoa; Chordata; Lepidosauria; Squamata; Phrynosomatidae. The record is from the annotation of a GenBank genome assembly.
GCCAGUGUGGUGUAGUGGUUUCAUGUUGGAUUGUGACUGGAGACCAGGGUUCGAUUCCCAGCUCGGCU